Molecule: ribosomal RNA, 1210 nt
Filed under: Salmonella enterica subsp. enterica
Lineage: Bacteria; Pseudomonadati; Pseudomonadota; Gammaproteobacteria; Enterobacterales; Enterobacteriaceae
Description: partial 23S ribosomal RNA
Rfam family: Bacterial large subunit ribosomal RNA
Source: RNAcentral
GGACACGUGGUAUCCUGUCUGAAUAUGGGGGGACCAUCCUCCAAGGCUAAAUACUCCUGACUGACCGAUAGUGAACCAGUACCGUGAGGGAAAGGCGAAAAGAACCCCGGCGAGGGGAGUGAAAAAGAACCUGAAACCGUGUACGUACAAGCAGUGGGAGCACAGGUUUACCUGUGUGACUGCGUACCUUUUGUAUAAUGGGUCAGCGACUUAUAUUCUGUAGCAAGGUUAACCGAAUAGGGGAGCCGGAGGGAAACCGAGUCUUAAUUGGGCGUUAAGUUGCAGGGUAUAGACCCGAAACCCGGUGAUCUAGCCAUGGGCAGGUUGAAGGUUGGGUAACACUAACUGGAGGACCGAACCGACUAAUGUUGAAAAAUUAGCGGAUGACCUGUGGCUGGGGGUGAAAGGCCAAUCAAACCGGGAGAUAGCUGGUUCUCCCCGAAAGCUAUUUAGGUAGCGCCUCGUGAAUUCAUCUCCGGGGGUAGAGCACUGUUUCGGCUAGGGGGCCAUCCCGGCUUACCAACCCGAUGCAAACUGCGAAUACCGGAGAAUGUUAUCACGGGAGACACACGGCGGGUGCUAACGUCCGUCGUGAAGAGGGAAACAACCCAGACCGCCAGCUAAGGUCCCAAAGUCAUGGUUAAGUGGGAAACGAUGUGGGAAGGCCCAGACAGCCAGGAUGUUGGCUUAGAAGCAGCCAUCAUUUAAAGAAAGCGUAAUAGCUCACUGGUCGAGUCGGCCUGCGCGGAAGAUGUAACGGGGCUAAACCAUGCACCGAAGCUGCGGCAGCGAACGUAUCACCCAAGACAACUUUACGGAGUUGACGAUUGACGGAGCGAAGCGACGUCAAAGCGUUCAUUAAAGUCGAGUUGGCUUAGGGAUACGUUCGUUGGGUAGGGGAGCGUUCUGUAAGCCUGUGAAGGUGUGUCGUGAGGCAUGCUGGAGGUAUCAGAAGUGCGAAUGCUGACAUAAGUAACGAUAAAGCGGGUGAAAAGCCCGCUCGCCGGAAGACCAAGGGUUCCUGUCCAACGUUAAUCGGGGCAGGGUGAGUCGACCCCUAAGGCGAGGCCGAAAGGCGUAGUCGAUGGGAAACGGGUUAAUAUUCCCGUACUUGGUGUUACUGCGAAGGGGGGACGGAGAAGGCUAUGUUGGCCGGGCGACGGUUGUCCCGGUUUAAGCGUGUAGGUGUGUGUUCCAGGUAAAUCCGGUU